Molecule: ribosomal RNA, 289 nt
Filed under: uncultured bacterium
Lineage: Bacteria
Description: partial 16S ribosomal RNA
Rfam family: Bacterial small subunit ribosomal RNA
Source: RNAcentral
GUGCCAGCAGCGCGGUACUACCGGCAGCUCAAGUGAUGUCCGGAAUCACUGGGCGUAAAGGGUGCGCAGGCGGGGCAGCAAGUCGGAGGUGAAAGCCCGUGGCUCAACCACGGAAGUGCCUUCGAAACUGUUGCUCUUGAGUCCCGGAGAGGUUGCCGGAAUUCGUGGUGUAGCGGUGAAAUGCGAAGAUAUCACGAGGAACACCAGAGGCGAAAGCGGGCAACUGGACGGGUACUGACGCUCAGGCACGAAAGCGCGGGGAGCAAACAGGAUUAGAAACCCCGUAGUC